Chlorocebus sabaeus (green monkey) is the source of this 81-nucleotide microRNA precursor. The record is from Ensembl. NCBI's taxonomy places the organism in Eukaryota, Metazoa, Chordata, Mammalia, Primates, Cercopithecidae.
AAAGCUUUUCCACACUCAUUACAUUGAUGGUUUUUGGAGUGACUGUGAAUUCUCUGAUGGUGGGUGAGGAGUAGGGCCUGA